GUUUUCCAAAAAUUCAAAACCACAACCAAUGUAACCAACCAUGACACCGCUUGCACUAUUUCUGCUGAAAGAACCAAUCUGGAAGAUCCGCAAUGGCGCUGUCCAUUGCCUUCCAAUAGCAGCAGCAGUAGUAUCAGCAGGAAUUGGAUGAAUGAGCUGCCGAGGAAUGCGAGCUGGAGAAAAAUGACUAGUUCUUCCCAGAUACAGGGCGAGCUUAACAGCGGCCAUAUUUGCCAAAGUCGAAGAGAUUGGAAUUCUGCCAAAAAAUGAAAAUGCUACUAGAAACAUUCAAUGAAGGGCUGUGCGACUAUGUACAUGUUCGCCCAUUUCUUGAGUGGCGGCGACCCACUAUACGUUGAUCCAGACUGCCCAAAUCACACUGAUCUGAUGAUGUUAAGCUACUGAUUUAGACCGAUGAUCACGGUCCAUUUGAUUUCAGCCAAGUGGAUGGUUAAGAAAGUCCAAUCGAUAUUGCAUUGCUACUCAUCAUGCAAUGGGAAGUAAAUUUCAGUCUGGAAUAUGGAUGCAGGCAAAUCUCAAAUCAAAGGAUUAUAACUCAGGGAAGCUACUCUUACCACCAUAUGAAGGGGCAGACCAGUUUUGGGACAACUUUGUAGUAGUAUUACUAAAAGCAAAAGAGAGAGGGUGCUUCUAUCAAUGAGUGUGGGUGUUGAUAUCAAUUCCCUAAAAACUGGAGAUAGCAUAAAACCAAUUCUUCAACAAAGUUUUAUAUUAUUCAAAGGAAAAUGGAAAAGAAGGAUUUAUCCUGUGGUAAAGGCAUAGAUUCAUGUGAUAUUAGCAGCUGAAAUUUUUAUGGUAUUUACUCAAACCAGCAUAAAGCAAUCCAGACCCUCCAAAUCAUUGAUUGGAUUUCUUCCCUUGAAUUUGGAUCACACAGUUUUACUUUUAACGAUCCAUUUGAGAGCAACCAGUUGAAUGGUGAUUGUUGCAUGAUUAUGAGGGUAGUCUUUUGCAUAGUUGUAAAACCAGAAAAAAA
Magnolia sinica is the source of this 997-nucleotide long non-coding RNA. RefSeq lists it as uncharacterized. The transcript is spliced from 5 exons. Lineage: Eukaryota; Viridiplantae; Streptophyta; Magnoliopsida; Magnoliales; Magnoliaceae. The record is from RefSeq and is a predicted model, not a curated record.